ACGCUGGCGGCAGGCCUAACACAUGCAAGUCGAGCGGUAGAGAGAAGCUUGCUUCUCUUGAGAGCGGCGGACGGGUGAGUAAUGCCUAGGAAUCUGCCUGGUAGUGGGGGAUAACGUCCGGAAACGGACGCUAAUACCGCAUACGUCCUACGGGAGAAAGCAGGGGACCUUCGGGCCUUGCGCUAUCAGAUGAGCCUAGGUCGGAUUAGCUAGUUGGUGGGGUAAUGGCUCACCAAGGCGACGAUCCGUAACUGGUCUGAGAGGAUGAUCAGUCACACUGGAACUGAGACACGGUCCAGACUCCUACGGGAGGCAGCAGUGGGGAAUAUUGGACAAUGGGCGAAAGCCUGAUCCAGCCAUGCCGCGUGUGUGAAGAAGGUCUUCGGAUUGUAAAGCACUUUAAGUUGGGAGGAAGGGCAGUAAAUUAAUACUUUGCUGUUUUGACGUUACCGACAGAAUAAGCACCGGCUAACUCUGUGCCAGCAGCCGCGGUAAUACAGAGGGUGCAAGCGUUAAUCGGAAUUACUGGGCGUAAAGCGCGCGUAGGUGGUUCGUUAAGUUGGAUGUGAAAUCCCCGGGCUCAACCUGGGAACUGCAUUCAAAACUGACGGGCUAGAGUAUGGUGGAGGGUGGUGGAAUUUCCUGUGUAGCGGUGAAAUGCGUAGAUAUAGGAAGGAACACCAGUGGCGAAGGCGACCACCUGGACUGAUACUGAGACUGAGGUGCGAAAGCGUGGGGAGCAAAC
Molecule: ribosomal RNA, 745 nt
Filed under: uncultured bacterium
Lineage: Bacteria
Description: bacterial SSU rRNA
Rfam family: Bacterial small subunit ribosomal RNA
Source: RNAcentral